This 460-nucleotide ribosomal RNA is filed under the name uncultured bacterium. Its description in RNAcentral is "partial 16S ribosomal RNA". It matches the Rfam family "Bacterial small subunit ribosomal RNA", at positions 338 to 795 of the family's 1533-position model. The record is from RNAcentral.
CCUACGGGAGGCAGCAGUGAGGAAUAUUGGUCAAUGGACGAGAGUCUGAACCAGCCAAGUAGCGUGAAGGAUGACUGCCCUAUGGGUUGUAAACUUCUUUUAUAUGGGAAUAAAAUGUUCCACGUGUGGGAUUUUGUAUGUACCAUAUGAAUAAGGAUCGGCUAACUCCGUGCCAGCAGCCGCGGUAAUACGGAGGAUCCGAGUGUUAUCCGGAUUUAUUGGGGUUAAAGGGAGCGUAGGUGGAUUGUUAAGUCAGUUGUGAAAGUUUGCGGCUCAACCGUAAAAUUGCAGUUGAAACUGGCAGUCUUGAGUACAGUAGAGGUGGGCGGAAUUCGUGGUGUAGCGGUGAAAUGCUUAGAUAUCACGAAGAACUCCGAUUGCGAAGGCAGCUCGCUGGACUGCAACUGACACUGAGGCUCGAAAGUGUGGGUAUCAAACAGGAUUAGAUACCCCAGUAGUC